RNAcentral lists this ribosomal RNA (958 nucleotides) under uncultured Sphingobacteriia bacterium. Its description in RNAcentral is "bacterial SSU rRNA". It matches the Rfam family "Bacterial small subunit ribosomal RNA", at positions 44 to 998 of the family's 1533-position model. Lineage: Bacteria; Pseudomonadati; Bacteroidota; Sphingobacteriia. The record is from RNAcentral.
CAGCUUAAUACAUGCAAGUCGAGGGGCAGCAUGAAGUAGCAAUACUUUGAUGGCGACCGGCAAACGGGUGCGGAACACGUACACAACCUUCCUUUUGGUGGGGAAUAGCCCAGAGAGAUUUGGAUUAAUACCCCGUAACAUAACGAUGUGGCAACACAUUGUUAUUAUAGCUUCGGCGCUAGAUGAUGGGUGUGCGUAUGAUUAGAUAGUUGGCGAGGUAACGGCUCACCAAGUCUACGAUCAUUAGCUGAUGUGAGAGCAUGAUCAGCCACACGGGCACUGAGACACGGGCCCGACUCCUACGGGAGGCAGCAGUAAGGAAUAUUGGUCAAUGGACGCAAGUCUGAACCAGCUAUGCCGCGUGAAGGAUUAAGGUCCUCUGGAUUGUAAACUUCUUUUAUCUGGGACGAAAAAAGGUCUUCCUAGAUCACUUGACGGUACCAGAUGAAUAAGCACCGGCUAACUCCGUGCCAGCAGCCGCGGUAAUACGGAGGGUGCAAGCGUUAUCCGGAUUCACUGGGUUUAAAGGGUGCGUAGGCGGGCAGGUAAGUCAGUGGUGAAAUCCUGGAGCUCAACUCCAGAACUGCCAUUGAUACUAUCUGUCUUGAAUAUUGUGGAGGUAAGCGGAAUAUGUCAUGUAGCGGUGAAAUGCUUAGAUAUGACAUAGAACACCCAUUGCGAAGGCAGCUUACUACGCAUAUAUUGACGCUGAGGCACGAAAGCGUGGGGAUCAAACAGGAUUAGAUACCCUGGUAGUCCACGCCCUAAACGAUGGAUACUCGACAUACGCGAUACACUGUGUGUGUCUGAGCGAAAGCAUUAAGUAUCCCACCUGGGAAGUACGUUCGCAAGAAUGAAACUCAAAGGAAUUGGCGGGGGUCCGCACAAGCGGAGGAGUAUGUGGUUUAAUUCGAUGAUACGCGAGGAACCUUACCUGGGCUAGAAUGCUGGGAGACCG